AAGUGGGCGUGGAAAGAGAGCGGAAGCCGAAACUAGGCGGCUUCACAGAUCUUGCACUGGGUCCCUGUGCCUGCCUGCCAUCGAGGAUCCAAAAUCUAAGGAUGAUGCUCGGAGUCCCACCACAGCCUGUCAGAGUUCACAUAGCGAAACCCAAAACGCCUGCCCCUGUGACAUCAUCUGAAUUCAGCCACCCUCACUACUGCCACCAGCCCAGGAUAAGGAUCAUAUUUCCAGUCUCCUCUGCAGCUACCCGGCCACUGGACCAAUCUCCAACCAGGCAGAUAAAGGGAUGGAAGUUAGAGGCUCGCCUGGUGACUUCCGGUAACAGCUUUGUACCACUUUCCCUAGAACGAUCCUCCUGCCUCCUUCCUGCCAGCUCCAUGGAUUGUAAAAUCACGUUGGGUGUGGCAGCCAGACAGAAUAAAGCACCAAAUUAAAACAGGUGCCAGUGUCCCCAUGUCAUGCAGAGCCAGCCCCAGCCUAUCUCCAGGUUUCCAAAAUAAAGAGAAAAAUGAGAUUGCCCUGUGCCCAAAACUGUGGCUAUUUGAGAGUUUUCUAUUACAAGUAGGCAAACUCAUUCCUAGCCAGUAUAGAGGCUGAGCGGCCAAGGGGUCAGGGGAAUCGGCUCAAGCAGGAUGGACAGGAAGGUAUCCCUGAGGGUGUGACAUUUGGGCAGAACAAAAGGAGGGAGAAGCCAAGCUGUGUGGGCAAGGGUGUCCCAGGCAGAACUUGCUCCCUGUCACCUAAGCUGGAAACCCAAGCCUUGUCCCCAGGCACCUUUCUGUUCUACAGGCCACAUUUCACCUGUCACCAAAUGAGUUCAGAACAAAGGAAACCAACUAAGGACACACACUCCCAGUCUCACCUCUCAGGCUGCCUUCUGCAGUCUGGCCCACAAAGGGUUAAACUGCCCCCCACCCCACCCCCUCCAAAGAGCUCUGUGAUGGAGCCUGGGGCCUUGUCUGGAAAACUGAUCUUGUGGGUUCUUUUAGUUCUGUAAGUCUGUGGUACUUUGUUAGGCAAUCCUUAAAGGAGAGGUUUCCUUUCAGGUAUGAUAUGGUCUGACUGUGUAGCCCAGAUUGGGCUCGAACUCACAAUCUUCCUGCCUGAGCCUCCAAGGGCUGGGGCUUUGUGAAGGUUAUGUUUUAUUGAGAUGUAAACUCACAUAUUACAUAAUUUAACCAUC
This 1186-nucleotide long non-coding RNA is filed under the name Mus caroli (Ryukyu mouse). RNAcentral's name for it is "lncRNA (MGP_CAROLIEiJ_G0002508.1)". Lineage: Eukaryota; Metazoa; Chordata; Mammalia; Rodentia; Muridae. The record is from RNAcentral.